AUGGUCAGGGAGGGCUCAGGAGAAGGGAGAAGGGAGGAAGAAAGGGGGAGGAUGGUAUUUUAUAGAAUUUCAGAUAAAUUUUGGGAAACCCUUUAUUUCACCCUGACCUGUCGUGCUUUGUCUUGCCCCUUCACUCAUCUGGCUUUCUUUCUUCCUGCCCCUGCAAUCAGUCUGAAGAAGGGUCCCGACCCGAAACAUCACCUAUCCGUGUUCUCCUGGGAUGCUGCCCGGACCACUGAGUUACAAAAUCACUGUGUCUUUCCUUGGUAAACCAGCAUUUGCAGUUCCUUGUUUCUACACAGAGCACAGAAAGAGUUCUUUCAACCCGUCUGCUCUACUGGAAUCCACCUUCACAGGAGUUGUGCAAUUAUAUGCUCUUCCUUCAGUGCCUAGUGACUGUUUCCUCGUUAAGAAGGUAUUUCCAAUUCUCCUUGCAAUUUUAUUAUUGACCCUGCUUCCAAUGUCUUUUCAGGCAAUGCACUGGAGAUCAAAGAUCCUGUAGCAAGCAAGAUAAUCCACUCCUGCUAAAUGCAAUGUGCUGAAGUGUAGUAUGCAACGGAGCGGAACGUGGGCCAUUUAUUCGUCCAUUUCAGUAACCCGACCCGACUUUGUAUAUCUCUCUCGCAGUGUAAUCAGCGUUGCGGGGGAACAAUUUGCAUAUGUGAUAAAGCCUUAUCUCUGCCUCACAGCCAGCUGUUGUUGGCUACAUCGAAGGAGUGUUUAUGCUGUUUUUGUGUGUCAAGGGUUGGCUCAUGAAUUUAACAUGCAAGCACUAAAGUCUGACAGCCACUGACUCAUAUUUUAUACCUCAAAAGGAAAUCUCAUCCUAACAUCUAUGAAUUUUGAGCUUCGAGGAGCACUGUAUGUACAAGCCGGUGACAUUGCUGCAAGUAAGAAUACAUGAAAAUUAGGAGCAAGAUAGGCCACCGGGCCUCUUAACCCCUCCCUGUUAUUCAAUA
Long non-coding RNA from Leucoraja erinaceus (little skate), 959 nucleotides. RefSeq lists it as uncharacterized. The transcript has 3 exons. Lineage: Eukaryota; Metazoa; Chordata; Chondrichthyes; Rajiformes; Rajidae. The record is from RefSeq and is a predicted model, not a curated record.